This 492-nucleotide ribosomal RNA is filed under the name uncultured bacterium. Its description in RNAcentral is "partial 16S ribosomal RNA". It matches the Rfam family "Bacterial small subunit ribosomal RNA", at positions 29 to 507 of the family's 1533-position model. The record is from RNAcentral.
AGUGAACGCUGGCGGUAGGCCUAACACAUGCAAGUCGAACGGCAGCACAGUAAGAGCUUGCUCUUACGGGUGGCGAGUGGCGGACGGGUGAGGAAUACAUCGGAAUCUACUUUUUCGUGGGGGAUAACGUAGGGAAACUUACGCUAAUACCGCAUACGACCUACGGGUGAAAUCAGGGGAUCUUCGGCCCUUGCGCGUUUGAAUGAGCCGAUGUCGGAUUAGCUAGUUGGCGGGGUAAAGGCCCACCAAGGCGACGAUCCGUAGCUGGUCUGAGAGGAUGAGCAGCCACACUGGAACUGAGACACGGUCCAGACUCCUACGGGAGGCAGCAGUGGGGAAUAUUGGACAAUGGGCGCAAGCCUGAUCCAGCCAUACCGCGUGGGUGAAGAAGGCCUUCGGGUUGUAAAGCCCUUUUGUUGGGAAAGAAAAGCAGCAGGUUAAUACCCCGCUGUUCUGACGGUACCCAAAGAAUAAGCACCGGCUAACUUCGUG